CAGUCGCCGCGGUAAUACCGAGGGUGCAAGCGUUAAUCGGAAUUACUGGGCGUAAAGCGCACGCAGGCGGUCUGACAAGUCAGAUGUGAAAUCCCCGGGCUUAACCUGGGAACUGCAUUUGAAACUGUCAGGCUGGAGUCUUGUAGAGGGGGGUGGAAUUCCAGGUGUAGCGGUGAAAUGCGUAGAGAUCUGGAGGAAUACCGGUGGCGAAGGCGGCCCCCUGGACAAAGACUGACGCUCAGGUGCGAAAGCGUGGGGAGCAAACAGGAUUAGAUACCCGAGUAGUCCCUGUCUCUUAUAC
This 301-nucleotide ribosomal RNA is filed under the name uncultured bacterium. Its description in RNAcentral is "partial 16S ribosomal RNA". It matches the Rfam family "Bacterial small subunit ribosomal RNA", at positions 509 to 807 of the family's 1533-position model. The record is from RNAcentral.